Molecule: non-coding RNA, 3401 nt
Organism: Dama dama (fallow deer)
Lineage: Eukaryota; Metazoa; Chordata; Mammalia; Artiodactyla; Cervidae
Source: the annotation of a RefSeq genome assembly
AGGAACAUUUCCACAGCAGCUUAUGACACACCCUCCCUCAGGGUUUAGUAUCUGACAGUGAAAAUGUCUCAGUAAGAAGAGGAAGCAUCAUGAAGAGGCUAGCAGGCGCUGUGCUGGGGCUUUUAUUUGCCCAGAUUUGCUGUGUGCGAGGGGUGGAUGUGGAGCAGAGUCCCGCAGCCCUGAGUCUCCAGGAGGGAGCCAGCCACGUGCUGAGGUGUAAUUUUUCUGCCUCUGUGACCAGUGUACACUGGUAUCUUCAGAACCCCAGCGGCCGCCUUAUCCACCUGUUUUACAUUCCUUCAGGGACAAAGCAGGAAGGAAGACUAAAUGCCACAACAGUCCGCAAAGAACGCCGCAGCUCACUGCACAUUUCCUCUCCGCGGACCACAGACUCGGGCACUUACUUCUGCGCUGCGCAGCGCGGUGCUCCCCAGGCACCUGCGGCCUCUACACGAACCCUCCGGGGCGCAGCCCCUCCUCCAGCCCCAGUCACACCGUGGGCCCCACAGGGCAUUCGCAGUGCUGAUUGUCUCUUACCUGCACUGGUAGAGUUUAAUCACGGGCAUUUUCCACCUACAGAUUGUGAACUUCGGUCUUUGUCUUCCUUUCUCAACCUGUAUCUCCUUCUGCACUAGAGACUUCUAACUUGGAACUAGCAGAAUAGCCGAUAAGAGGACAAAAUAAAUAAAUAUUCAACCGUAGUAUGCUGAACUCAAAAGUGGUAAAAAGUGAGAAGAAUUCAGAGAAAAAAAUAACUCCAAUAAAGUUGUUAUCCUGAUUAGUUAGCUGUCUCAAGAAUGUUCAGAUCUGCCUCACCAGAAUGUGUCCCAAAAGACACUUGCAUCAUCCCAUCCUACGAGUGCAGCAAAGUGAGCAACAACAAUAAACCUUACUCAAUGUUUAGUAUGAGCUUAAUAACUUAGAAGAAAAUUAUUCUGGAUGCAAGAAAUCUUAAAUCUAUUUCCAUAGUCAAGGUCUUGGAAGAGUUGAUUCCUUCUUGAGAUCUAAGGGAUACAAGAUCCAUUUCCUCGCCUUUUUUAGCUUUUGAAGGCCAACUAAAUUCUUUGGUUCAUGACUCCUCCUUGAAUCACUAGAACUUCUUGCUUCCCUCACCGUAGCUCCUUCCUCUUUUGGAGUCAAAUAUCUUUCUGUCUCUGUCCUAUAAGGUAUAAAAAAUAUUAAACAGAAAUCUCAGUUAAAUAGAGUUGGGAGACAGGGGGAACUCUCAUGACCUGUGGACAUAGUGGAGGGCAAAGGUAAGAUGAAAUAUGCCUCUUAUUUCCUAGCAAGGACUCAGUCAAUGAAAAGCCAUGGGCUCUUGUUUACUGCAGCCCUCUCAGCUUCCUUUUUCAAUUUAUAUUGUCUUAAAUUCUUUUCAACGUCUUACAGUUUUCAGAGAACUGGUCUUUCACUUUAUUGGUUAAAUUUAUUCCUAGGUAUUUUUGAUUCUUUUUGAUUCAACUAGAAAUUGGAUUGCUUUCUUAAAUUCUUAAUAAUAGUUAUUAUUAGUAUAUAGAAAUGCACAAAUUUCUGUAGAUUAAUCUUGUAUCCUGCAACUUUAUCUUGUAAUCAACUUUGUUGAUUGUUUAUAUUAGUUUUUUUCCGUGGCAUCUUUACAAUUUUCUAUGUAGAGUAUUAUGCUGUCUGUAAUUAGAGACAGUUUACCUCUUUCUGUUCAACUUGGAUGCCAAUUAUUUCUUUUUCCUAUGUGAUUACUGAGACUAGGACUUCCAGUACUAUGUUAAAUAGGAAUGGUGAGAGUUGCAUCCUUGUCUUGUUACUGAUCUUAGAGAAAAAGAUUAAAUUUUUUACCAUUUAGUAGGAUGUCAGCUGUAGAUUUGUAACAAAUGAUCUAUUAUUUUGAGGCGUGCUCUCUUUAUACCAAAUAUAUUGACAGUUUUUUCCAUGAAUGUUAAAUCUUGUCAAAAUCCUUUUCUGCAUUUAUUGACAUAGUCGUGUAAUUUUUAUCCUUUAUUCUGCUAACCUGGUAUAUCACCUUGCUUGAUUUGUGGAUAGUGAACCAUCGUUGCACACCUGAAAUAAAUCUCUUGAUCAUGAUGCAUGAUUCUUUCAAGUUUUGUUGAAUUCAGUUUGCUACUAUUUUGUUAAGAAUUUUUGCAUCUAUAUUCCUCAGAAAUAUAAGCCUGAAUUUUCUUUUCUGUAGAAUCUUUGUUUGAUUUUGGUGUCAGGAUAUUGUAGGCCUCAGAGAAUGAGAGUGAGAGCAUUUCCUCAUCUUUGAUUUUUAGGGAUAAUUUGCAUAGGGUGAGUACUAAUUUUCCUUUAAAUAUUCAGUUGAAUUUCUUCUUGAAGCAUAUGGCCCUGGAUUUCUGUUUCUCAGGAAUUUUUUGAUUACUGGUUCAACUUAAUUACUAGUAAUUGGUCUGUUCAAAUUUUCUUUUUCUUUCAUAUUCCAUCUUGGAAGACUGUGUGUGUCCAGGAAUGUAUCGCUUUUACAGUCAUAUUUUUAGGUUCCAGGCAAUAGGACUUGAAUAACUUUGGGAGUCCUUUUUCAGGCUACCACAUUUAUCACGGCAACUCUGGCUAUCCAUUUUCCACCCCUCUGGCACUUGCUGUUAUCUGCUUGUUUAUUUGCCUAGUGACUUGAUUAUUUCAGGUAAGUUAAUGUUUCCCAUACUGUACAGCCUAUGAUGUUGUUCCUCAAAGGAUAUAGUCUUGGGUACAUUCUCAGACAUCCUAAUGCAGUAGUGGGUUAGCAAGGCUCUUUAACAGUCUUUUUCUCUAAUUUCUAUGCUAGACUAUAUGCUUCUGUUUGUAUUCAGUUCAGUUCAGUUCAGCCACUCAUUCGUGUCCGACUCUCUGCGACCCCAUGAAUCGCAGCACGCCAGGCCUCUCUGUCCAUCACCAACUCCCAGAGUUUACUCAAACUCAUGUCCAUCGAGUCAGUGACGCCAGCCAGCCAUCUCAUCCUCUGUCGUCCCCUUCCCCUCCUGCCCCCAAUCCCUCCCAGCAUCAGGGUCUUUUCCAACGAGUCAACUCUUCUCAUGAGGUGGCCAAAGUAUUGGAAUUUCAGCUUCAGCAUCAGUCCUUCCAAUGAACACUCAGGACUGAUCUCCUUUAGGAUGGACUAAUUGGAUCUCCUUGCAGUCCAAGGGACUCUCAAGAGUCUUCUCUAACACUACAGUUCAAAAGCAUCAAUUCUUUGGCACCUAGGCAAUAGACUCCACUAAUCGCUGGCUGAUUUUUUUCCAACAAUGUUAUGAAGCCAUAAAUUGUUCCCAGGACUCAUCUAAUUAAAUCAAGCCUGUUUGCAGAGACAGCCUUUGAAACUUUUCUUUGAGAUCUUCUGACCAGAGAGGACUUUUCCUUGCUCUCCCCUUUCCUGUACUUUCUGUUAAGAUUUUAAGUUGAUGUCUAUGAAUUAAAUUAACUUGUUGCUUUCA